Molecule: ribosomal RNA, 427 nt
Filed under: uncultured bacterium
Lineage: Bacteria
Description: partial 16S ribosomal RNA
Rfam family: Bacterial small subunit ribosomal RNA
Source: RNAcentral
UGGGGAAUAUUGCACAAUGGGCGCAAGCCUGAUGCAGCCAUGCCGCGUGUAUGAAGAAGGCCUUCGGGUUGUAAAGUACUUUCAGCGGGGAGGAAGGUGUUGAGGUUAAUAACCUCAGCAAUUGACGUUACCCGCAGAAGAAGCACCGGCUAACUCCGUGCCAGCAGCCGCGGUAAUACGGAGGGUGCAAGCGUUAAUCGGAAUUACUGGGCGUAAAGCGCACGCAGGCGGUCUGGCAAGUCGGAUGUGAAAUCCCCGGGCUCAACCUGGGAACUGCAUUCGAAACUGGCAGGCUAGAGUCUUGUAGAGGGGGGUAGAAUUCCAGGUGUAGCGGUGAAAUGCGUAGAGAUCUGGAGGAAUACCGGUGGCGAAGGCGGCCCCCUGGACAAAGACUGACGCUCAGGUGCGAAAGCGUGGGGAGCAAACA